RNAcentral lists this ribosomal RNA (446 nucleotides) under uncultured bacterium. RNAcentral's name for it is "SSU rRNA". It matches the Rfam family "Bacterial small subunit ribosomal RNA", at positions 26 to 518 of the family's 1533-position model. The record is from RNAcentral.
AGAGCGAACGCUGGCGGCAGGCCUAACACAUGCAAGUCGAACGCACCUUCGGGUGAGUGGCGGACGGGUGAGUAACACGUGGGAACGUACCUUUUGGUUCGGAAUAACGCAGGGAAACUUGCGCUAAUACCGAAUGUGCUCCGUAAGGAGGAAAGAUUUAUCGCCAUUAGAGCGGCCCGCGUUAGAUUAGCUAGUUGGUGAGGUAAAGGCUCACCAAGGCUACGAUCUAUAGCUGGUCUGAGAGGAUGAUCAGCCACAUUGGGACUGAGACACGGCCCAAACUCCUACGGGAGGCAGCAGUGGGGAAUCUUGCGCAAUGGGCGAAAGCCUGACGCAGCCAUGCCGCGUGAAUGAUGAAGGUCUUAGGAUUGUAAAAUUCUUUCAGUAGGGACGAUAAUGACGGUACCUACAGAAGAAGCCCCGGAUAACUUCGCGCCAGCAGCCGC